UGGUUCUGGCAUCGAUGAAGAACGCAGCGAAAUGCGAUAAGUAAUGUGAAUUGCAGAAUUCAGUGAAUCAUCGAAUCUUUGAACGCACAUUGCGCCCAUUAGUAUUCUAGUGGGCAUGCCUGUUCGAGCGUCAUUUCAACCCCUAAGCACAGCUUACUGUUGGGAACCUACGGCCUCCGUAGCUCCUUAAAGACAUUGGCGGAGUGGCAGUGGUCCUCUGAGCGUAGUAAUUCUUUAUCUCGCUUUUGUUAGGUGCUGCCCCCCCGGCCGUAAAACCCCCCCUUUUUUCUGGUUGACCUCGGAUCAGGUAGGAAUACCCGCUGA
This 324-nucleotide unclassified non-coding RNA is filed under the name uncultured fungus. Its description in RNAcentral is "partial contains 5.8S ribosomal RNA and internal transcribed spacer 2". The stretch from base 1 to 133 matches the Rfam family "5.8S ribosomal RNA", at positions 22 to 154 of the family's 154-position model. The record is from RNAcentral. Lineage: Eukaryota; Fungi.